RNAcentral lists this long non-coding RNA (545 nucleotides) under Mytilus galloprovincialis (Mediterranean mussel). The record is from RNAcentral. Lineage: Eukaryota; Metazoa; Mollusca; Bivalvia; Mytilida; Mytilidae.
CACCAGUCUUUUAAAUCAUUGAACGUCACAGAGUCAUGACAUAAUUAUAUAUUCUGAGUUUAGCUUUCAUAAUCCGAAAUUAACAGUUCAAGCAAAAUACAUGCAGUUGUCUGAUGCGCCUGUCUAGUCCUAGGUACAUUUGAACAUACAUAAAAAGAAUCUGCCGUUCUUGGUGUUGCAAUAUUGGCUUCAGUAAGACAACAUGUCCAUCCCUAUCACGCAAUAUAUCACCCAGAGUUUUAUAACAAGUCAUUUCAAUGUGCAAUCCACCAAACAUGACGAUAAACUUAUCUUUUCCGUAAAAAUCAGGCCAUUCCCAGUGAAUUUGCUUAGGCAUUUCAAAAAGUGGCUGAUCUGCAGUUACAAUUGAUGUUUCUCCGGGAUUCACCACAUUUUCGCCUUAUCCAUCGAAUACCUGAGAAUUGCCUGGUAGUGCAUACAAAUCGCUCUUGAUGUCUAUAAAUAGUUUGCACAUGCGCAAAAGUGUAAAACACAUGUGUAUCAUAACCUUGAAAAAUAUCAUAAACCAAUUCAUAAUAUCAUUA